CUGGCCGGCGGCCGGCUGCAGGGAGGGAGCGGCGGUCAGAGGGCUCGGGCGGCGCGCACGCCCCUCGGCGCCGCCCAGGCCUCUCCUGCGGCCCCGGGGCCCUCCCCAGGGUCAGCCGGCCGCGGCUGGGGGCUCCCGGCGCUUACCCGGCUGCAGAGGGCGAGGAGGAGCACGAAGGCGAGGCGGACGGGGCCCGCGCCGGCGGCGGACAUGGUCGGGGCGCGGCGGACGGAGUGCGCGGCGGCGGCGGGGUAGUAACAUGAAGAAGUGACUGACAGAACCUAAUUUCCUGCUCUGAAAAUGUAAGAAAGAGGCAUACCUGACAAGGAAGUUCGUGUAACUUGAUAAUGUGUGUCAAAGCCUCCCCCCAAAUCCUUGAAGGCGAAGAGGUAUCCCCUGGACAUCCAAUGAUGUAUGAAUACAUUUGCAAAUAUCUGAUUUCCCUCAAGAUCUGUCCGAUGCACUGUGAUGACCCAGUUUCUCAGGACUCCUGUCAUGUCUGAGUGGAGACAUUCUUGGUCACGCAGUCAGUUAGUCGUCUGUCCUCUCUGGUUCCAUGGCACAUCAUCACAUCACGGUUAUGCAUGCACCUUGGGAGAGAAAGAUGAGAACCUGAAUUCAGAGUAGUCAAGUUAUGGCCUCAACAUCACACAGCCUGAAAGAGGAGGAUCCAGGAUUUGAACACAAGUGGUCCUCAUUGGAGAUUUUUCCCGUGUCAAGUCUCCAGCCCAGGCUCCAGACCAGACCAAUGACACUGCUCCUCUAUGAUUUUCAAAAUGCCAGCCAUCAUCAGUGAAGAACCCUUGGUGCCAGAGAUGUUGUAGCUUGUCUUCUAUCAAACCACAGGACUUAUUCUUUAAAUGUUAGAAGACGUGUCUUAUCUCUCUAGUUAGAUUACAAAUCCCUUAAGGACAAGAACUGAGUCUGUUUCUUUGGUUUUCAAACCAAGUGUUACGAAUAGUGGCAUUUUUCAACUAAAUUUUGGCUCAAAAAUUUUAAAGCCAAACAUUGAAGGCAAGCGUAUGAUGAUGAGAGGCCACACCCAGCCAAUGGGCAGCCCCUUGGUGACCUUUGAUCUAACUUUAAACUUAGAAAAAUUCACUUAGAAAAUUUCUCUAAAAUCAGUUUGGAGCGUUUUGCCAAGCACUAAAAAUAAGCAAAGAUAAAAUUUCCCAGUGAAUUACACCUGGUAAAGAUAAGAAUUGUUUGGGGAAACUUUUUAGUGUGCAUGCAUUGGGGUCAUAAUCAAAAGUUUGAAAAUCAUUGCCCUACAGUAUAAGUACACAAUAGAUGCUUGGUUUAGGUCAUUUAAGUUGUCAAAAGAAGAGCUGAGGUAGAAAUUAGGAAAGAAGCCUCUUUGUACAAUUAUGAGGGUCUUUUUGUGGCUAUUGCUCCUUGGCCUGUCAGUCUGAGUAUGAGGUGUAAGCAGUCCCUUAGGUUGCUUCAUGAGCCUGGUUGAGUACCUCGUUCCCUCAUUCAGAACAUUCAGAUGAACCACAGGCUCUCUGAUGGCAUCCAAAUGCUGAUGUAAGUCUCAGGGCGAAUACAACCUAUCAACCCUAUGAUGGGUUUUCAGUCACCCAAAUGGGAAGUUAACUAUUAUUGACGUAAACUGCUAAGUUCAACUACCUUCAAUUUUUUAACAAAUAUUCAUGUAGUACCUCCUCUGUGCCAGGAUUGUGUGGACUGAAGAUACAGAGUUAAAUCAGACACAGGUUACAUCUUAGAAGAGCUUAUGGUCUAAUACAGGGGUUGGCAAACUAUAGCCCAUGGGUAAAAUCUGGCCCACAGCUUGUUCAUAUAAGCAAAGUUUUAUUGUAAUUCUGCCAUGCUCAUUUGUGUACGUAUUGUCUAUGGGUGGUUUUGCACAGCCACACACAGUUGAAUGGUUGUAAAUGGGCCACAGAUCCUAAAUAUUUACUAUCUGGCCCUUCACAGAAAAAGUUUGCCAAUCUCAUCUGAUAAAACAUCAAAAAUUGUUUAAAAUAACAUUUUUUCUAUGAGAUUUCCAUAUGCAAAAGUGACAAAUAUAUCAAGAGCAAUGUAAUAUUUUUCUUAUUUUUAUGACUAAACAUCACAGAUUACUGGUCUGAUGGGGCAGCCUUAAGAGGAUUCAAGAAGUGACCCCUUUUGAAAAUUUCGAGAAAAACAUAGUGAUCUUAAUGAAAUGACAUUUCCUGUUUUUCCUCCUUACGCAUACAUAAUCAUGCUGACCAGAGCUUUGGAUGUCUGAUUGUAAAGUGCCAAUAUUAUCACAAAAAAAUUACAGCUCUAAAUCAGCUGAAUAUUAGAUCAGAGGUCACCAAGGGGCUGACUACUGGCUGGGUGUGGCACAUCACCAUCAUAUGCUUGGCCUCAAUGCUUGACCUUAAAACUAUUGAGCCAAAAUUUAUUUGUGAAAUUAACUUUAUAUUAAAAUCUAGGUCUCCCAUUUCUCUUGAAAAGUCACAUUUGGCAGCACUAGGCCUCUAUUCCUGCAUGAUGACAACUCAUCGGAGUAGGAAGGAGCUUCCAGCAUAUGUGCUCCAGAUUACCCCAGUCCCUACCACGCCCAAAUGUUUCCCUGACUCAAGGUUAAGUGUUAGUUCCCAUUCACAACCUGCUUACACUGUCAUUUUUCUCAGUUAAAAAAAAACUCUCUGUAAUCAUUCUCUUUUAAAAGUGGGUCAACAAAAGGUUGACCAAGAUUAGGUUAAAACAAUGAGUUUUCUUACAUAUUUAAUAUGCAAGCCAAGGGUAUGCAAUCUGCAGCUGCUUUACUACCUUAUAUUCUUUCCUAGCUCCUGAAGUUAUGAUAGUUUGAGACUAAUGUCUUAGACCCAUAAAGAAAAGCAUAUGGACAGGUCCUAGAAUUUGUUUUAGUGAUUCAGGCAUGUGAUGAAGCAAGUUUGGAGACCAUAGUCUUGGGAACCCAGAAGAGAUCUGGUUGCUCAUCACAUCCAAAUCUUCAUUCCACAUACAAAGCAUCUGAAGGCCCUAAGGUGGAACAAUCUUAUCAAUGGCACAGGCAUGUCAGCCACAGAGGCCAUCUCUCCUAAAUCCCACUCCAGCACUCUUGAGAAAACAAGACCAAUAUGGUGUGUGAUAAAUAAUUCCCCUAAAAUAGCUGGACAGCUUGUGGGAAGCUGUCAGACUUCUUCCUCCAGCAUAGCACAAAUUUUAAUUGGUGGUAUCUAGAACAGUUUGUAUGUGUGUGUGAAAAAUGGCAUCUGAUCAGUUUCCCCGCAGCCAGCAGAGGCAGCCCACUGCGGCUGCACCCUUACUGACCAGCUCUCAGUGGCCAACAGAUGCCUUCUUUUCCUGUGGAAAUAAAAUAUACGGGCAGGAGAAAGGACUUAUUUGGUAAUGUUACACUCCUCAGCUUCCUGCUCUGGGCUGUCUCAGCUGCAAAAUGUCAAGGGAAAAAAUAUCCCUCCAACUUGGAAUGAAUUCCAGACAGACCCUGAUGCCUGCAAAUUUGUUAGAGGAAGCCAAGUCCAGAGAAGCAGAACAUGAAGAAGGUUCAUUAUUUGACUUCAAGAGACGCUCAAAUAAUCAGACACUCUGGUAUUUAUGAUUUUCCCCGUUUCAGAUGGUCUGUCGUUCACAACAUUCCCCUCCCUUUACCGCUGAUUCUGAGCUCCUUUUUAAAUUAAACCUCAACAGUUAUAAAAAGACUCUCACAUUACUUGCAAGCCACAAGCAUUACCAGGAGACACUCUGUUCAUACAGGGCUGUUUAGGGCUGGAGAAGGGCAGCUCUUUUUGAUUCUUAGUCUGGGGAGGGCAGGCCAGGAAGUCAGACUCACUUCACCUUGACCAUGCCACACCAGUCCUCACCUAGCUCCCACGUCUGUGCCAAGACCUCCUGCCAUUCACAGUAUUAAGUACAAUCUUUAUUAAAAAGUGCUUAUUUACUAUCA
Molecule: long non-coding RNA, 3901 nt
Organism: Cynocephalus volans (Philippine flying lemur)
Lineage: Eukaryota; Metazoa; Chordata; Mammalia; Dermoptera; Cynocephalidae
Exons: 7
Source: RefSeq, a predicted model, not a curated record